CGGUUUCUUAAGUCUGAUGUGAAAGCCCUGGGCUCAACCCAGGAAGUGCAUUGGAUACUGGGAGACUUGAAUACGGGAGAGGGUAGUGGAAUUCCUAGUGUAGGAGUGAAAUCCGUAGAUAUUAGGAGGAACACCGGUGGCGAAGGCGGCUACCUGGACCGAUAUUGACGCUGAGACGCGAAAGCGUGGGGAGCAAACAGGAUUAGAUACCCUGGUAGUCCACGCCGUAAACGAUGAGAACUAGGUGUUGCGGGUAUUGACCCCUGCAGUGCCAAGCCG
Molecule: ribosomal RNA, 279 nt
Filed under: uncultured bacterium
Lineage: Bacteria
Description: partial 16S ribosomal RNA
Rfam family: Bacterial small subunit ribosomal RNA
Source: RNAcentral